Molecule: ribosomal RNA, 429 nt
Filed under: uncultured bacterium
Lineage: Bacteria
Also listed under: 1 other name
Description: bacterial SSU rRNA
Rfam family: Bacterial small subunit ribosomal RNA
Source: RNAcentral
UGGGGAAUUUUGGACAAUGGGCGCAAGCCUGAUCCAGCCAUGCCGCGUGAGUGAAGAAGGCCUUCGGGUUGUAAAGCUCUUUCGGCCGGGAAGAAAUCGGCGACUCUAACAUAGUCGCUGGAUGACGGUACCGGACUAAGAAGCACCGGCUAACUACGUGCCAGCAGCCGCGGUAAUACGUAGGGUGCGAGCGUUAAUCGGAAUUACUGGGCGUAAAGCGUGCGCAGGCGGUUUUGUAAGACAGAUGUGAAAUCCCCGGGCUUAACCUGGGAACUGCGUUUGUGACUGCAAGGCUAGAGUACGGCAGAGGGGGGUGGAAUUCCUGGUGUAGCAGUGAAAUGCGUAGAUAUCAGGAGGAACACCGAUGGCGAAGGCAGCCCCCUGGGCCUGUACUGACGCUCAUGCACGAAAGCGUGGGGAGCAAACAGG